Molecule: ribosomal RNA, 512 nt
Filed under: uncultured Cryomorphaceae bacterium
Lineage: Bacteria; Pseudomonadati; Bacteroidota; Flavobacteriia; Flavobacteriales; Cryomorphaceae
Description: bacterial SSU rRNA
Rfam family: Bacterial small subunit ribosomal RNA
Source: RNAcentral
AGGGUUUGAUCAUGGCUCAGGAUGAACGCUAGCGGCAGGCUUAACACAUGCAAGUCGAGGGGUAACAGGGAAAAGCUUGCUUUUCCGCUGACGACCGGCGCACGGGUGCGUAACACGUAUGCAACCUACCUCUUACUGAGGAAUAGCCCAGAGAAAUUUGGAUUAAUACCUCAUAACACCACAAGAUCGCAUGAUCUAAUGGUUAAAGGUUACGGUAAGAGAUGGGCAUGCGGCCUAUUAGUUUGUUGGUGAGGUAAUGGCUCACCAAGACUACGAUGGGUAGGGGGUCUGAGAGGACUAUCCCCCACACUGGUACUGAGACACGGACCAGACUCCUACGGGAGGCAGCAGUGAGGAAUAUUGCGCAAUGGACGAAAGUCUGACGCAGCCAUGCCGCGUGAAGGAUGACGGCGCUACGCGUUGUAAACUUCUUUUAUAUACCAAGAAACCUUCGGACGUGUCCGAAGCUGACGGUAGUAUAUGAAUAAGCACCGGCUAACUCCGUGCCAGCC